UGUAUGUAAAAAGUCGUAACAAGGUCUCCGUAGGUGAACCUGCGGAGGGAUCAUUACACAAAUAUGAAGGCGGGCUGGAACCUCUCGGGGUUACAGCCUUGCUGAAUUAUUCACCCUUGUCUUUUGCGUACUUCUUGUUUCCUUGGUGGGUUCGCCCACCACUAGGACAAACAUAAACCUUUUGUAAUUGCAAUCAGCGUCAGUAACAAAUUAAUAAUUACAACUUUCAACAACGGAUCUCUUGGUUCUGGCAUCGAUGAAGAACGCAGCGAAAUGCGAUAAGUAGUGUGAAUUGCAGAAUUCAGUGAAUCAUCGAAUCUUUGAACGCACAUUGCGCCCUUUGGUAUUCCAAAGGGCAUGCCUGUUCGAGCGUCAUUUGUACCCUCAAGCUUUGCUUGGUGUUGGGCGUCUUGUCUCUAGCUUUGCUGGAGACUCGCCUUAAAGUAAUUGGCAGCCGGCCUACUGGUUUCGGAGCGCAGCACAAGUCGCACUCUCUAUCAGCAAAGGUCUAGCAUCCAUUAAGCCUUUUUUUCAACUUUGACCUCGGAUCAGUAGGAACCCCAUCCGCA
Molecule: ribosomal RNA, 569 nt
Filed under: Alternaria alternata
Lineage: Eukaryota; Fungi; Ascomycota; Dothideomycetes; Pleosporales; Pleosporaceae
Description: eukaryotic LSU rRNA
Rfam family: 5.8S ribosomal RNA (bases 222-375)
Source: RNAcentral